UAGCUUAGUGGUUUAAGUUGCUGAAUUACAAGUCAGGAGGUCGGGGUUCGAAUCCC
Molecule: transfer RNA, 56 nt
Filed under: uncultured Phaeocystis
Lineage: Eukaryota; Haptophyta; Phaeocystales; Phaeocystaceae
Source: RNAcentral